UUGAUGUUCACAGUGGGAUUUU
This 22-nucleotide microRNA is filed under the name Schistosoma japonicum. RNAcentral describes it as "miRNA-3119". The record is from RNAcentral. Lineage: Eukaryota; Metazoa; Platyhelminthes; Trematoda; Strigeidida; Schistosomatidae.